Molecule: ribosomal RNA, 1728 nt
Filed under: Triticum aestivum (bread wheat)
Lineage: Eukaryota; Viridiplantae; Streptophyta; Magnoliopsida; Poales; Poaceae
Description: partial small subunit ribosomal RNA
Source: RNAcentral
AUGGCCAAGAUCACAGGAACAGCCAUAUGUGCUCUCUUCAUCUUCUUCUCCUUCACUUGCUGCCUACCUCCUCUUGCUGGAUCCUUGUCCUUCGACUACCCAACCUUCCGCUCGGAGGACCAGAAGGCCAUCAAGAUCGAAGGUAACGCUUCCUUCAGUGUUGGGCACAUCGACAUUAGCGGCAACAACUGGGACGUCCGUAAGAGCCAGGGGCGGGCGUCGUACAGUACCCAGCCAAUGUUGCUGUGGGAUGGGCACACAGGCGAGGUGGCUAGCUUCACCACCAGCUUCUCCUUCAUCAUCAAGCCCAAGUCCAACAGCAGCAGGGGGGCUGGCAUGGCGUUCUUUCUUGCCAGCUACCCGUCGAGCUUACCGACUGGGUCUUCAGGUUACUACAACCUCGGUCUCACAAACCAAAAAGAUGGCGCUGUGGCGGCAGGCGACAACCGGUUCGUGGCGGUGGAAUUCGACACCUCCAAUGAGACCGAGGUAUCAGAUCCCGACACCACUUUGGACCACGUUGGCAUUGACAUCAACUCGUUAAAAUCGGUGAAAACAUUGCCCCUGCCAAACUUCAGCCUCAAUGGAAACAUGACUGCCACAAUCCAGUAUGACAACAUUUCAAGUAUCAUGUCUGUCACACUAUGGCUUGGUGAUGGCCAUGGCCCGAGUUACAGCCUUAGCUCCAAGGUUGAUCUCAAGAGCGCAUUGCCGGAGCUGGUUGCGGUUGGCUUCUCGGCGUCGACGGGCAAAUCCGUUGAGCUGCAUCAAUUGCUUUCUUGGCACUUCAACUCAUUGCUGGAGGGCAAGACGGCAACAGUAGUAGCACCACCGGUAUUAGCACCACCCUCCUCGAGAACUUCCGUUUCCGGGGUCAUAGCAGGAGCCGUUGCUGGGGCAUCGCUGUUCCUCGUGGUGUUCUUCGCCAUGUCAGCCUUCUUGCUACGUCGCCGUCAGAACAAGAAGAAGAGGGAGGCAAAGGACGAGGAUAUGUACUCGGAAGGCGAGGUGGUCAUGGAGAUGGAGUUUGGGACGGGGCCAAGGAGGUUCCCGUACCGGCAACUCACCAACGCGACACGGAACUUUGCAGCGGAGGAGAAGCUCGGGCAAGGUGGCUUCGGUGCGGUGUACAGAGGCCACCUGAGAGAGCUUGGCCUCCCCGUGGCCAUAAAGCGAUUCUCCAAGGAGUCAUCCAUGCAAGGGAGAAAGGAGUACACGUCGGAGAUCAAUGUCAUCAGUCGGCUGCGCCACCGGAAUCUGGUGCAGCUUGUCGGCUGGUGCCACAACCACGAUGAGCUCCUACUGGUUUACGAGCUCAUGCCCAACCGCAGCCUCGACAUCCAUCUCCACGGCAAGGGCACCUUCUUGACAUGGGCAAUGAGGAUGAAGAUAGUCCUCGAGCUUGGCUCUGCACUGCUCUACCUCCACGAGGAAUGGGAGCAAUGCGUGGUGCACCGGGACAUCAAGCCCAGCAACGUGAUGCUGGACGAGUCCUUCGGCGCCAAGCUGGGCGACUUCGGGCUCGCGAGGCUCAUCGACCAUGCCGUCGGGAUGCAGACGAUUGCUACGGGAUCGCAGCAAUUCCUUGCGUCACGCCAGGAUGUGGUAACGAGAGGCAGAAGGAAAGCGCGUGGGGAGGAAGAAGAAGCAGAGAGGAAGAAUUGUAUUUCAGAGAAUAAUGUUUACAAUGCCAGUUCUCUUUCUCCCCUCCACACACUAGCUAUAUAA